CUAGCGACUUCAGAGUUUGAUCCUGGCUCAGGACGAACGCUGGCGGCGUGCUUAACACAUGCAAGUCAAACGGAGAUACAUUGGAGGAGAGCUUCGGCAGGAAUCCGGCGUAUCUUAGUGGCGGACGGGUGAGUAACGCGUGAGCAACCUGUCCCAGACAGGGGGAUAACACUUGGAAACAGGUGCUAAUACCGCAUAAGACCACGGUGUCACAUGGCGCUGAGGUAAAAGGGGCAAUCCGGUUUGGGGUGGGCUCGCGUCCGAUUAGAUAGUUGGUGAGGUAACGGCCCACCAAGUCGACGAUCGGUAGCCGACCUGAGAGGGUGAUCGGCCACAUUGGAACUGAGAGACGGUCCAA
Molecule: ribosomal RNA, 358 nt
Filed under: uncultured bacterium
Lineage: Bacteria
Description: bacterial SSU rRNA
Rfam family: Bacterial small subunit ribosomal RNA
Source: RNAcentral